Molecule: ribosomal RNA, 1462 nt
Filed under: metagenome
Description: bacterial SSU rRNA
Rfam family: Bacterial small subunit ribosomal RNA
Source: RNAcentral
AGAGUUUGAUCCUGGCUCAGAACGAACGCUGGCGGCAGGCCUAAAACAUGCAAGUCGAACGAACCUUCGGGUUAGUGGCGCACGGGUGCGUAACGCGUGGGAAUAUGCCCUUCACUACGGAACAACGUCGGGAAACUGACGCUAAUACCGUAUAAUGUCUUCGGACCAAAGAUUUAUCGGUGAAGGAUUAGCCCGCGUCUGAUUAGCUAGUUGGUGAGGUAACGGCUCACCAAGGCGACGAUCAGUAGCUGGUCUGAGAGGAUGAUCAGCCACACUGGAACUGAGACACGGUCCAGACUCCUACGGGAGGCAGCAGUUAGGAAUAUUGGACAAUGGGGGAAACCCUGAUCCAGCCAUGCCGCGUGUGUGAAGAAGGCCUUAGGGUUGUAAAGCACUUUCAGCCGUGAAGAUAAUGACAGUAGCGGAAGAAGAAGCUCCGGCUAAAUUCGUGCCAGCAGCCGCGGUAAUACGAAUGGAGCGAGCGUUGUUCGGAAUCACUGGGCGUAAAGGGUGCGCAGGCGGUUGUGAAAGUCAGAAGUGAAAGCCCAGGGCUCAACCCUGGAAUUGCUUUUGAAACUCCACAACUAGAGUAUUGGAGAGGUUAGCGGAAUUCCGAGUGUAGAGGUGAAAUUCGCAGAUAUUCGGAGGAACACCAAUGGCGUAGGCAGCUAACUGGACAAUUACUGACGCUCAUGCACGAAAGCGUGGGGAUCAAACAGGAUUAGAUACCCUGGUAGUCCACGCCCUAAACGAUGUGUGCUAGUUGUCGGGCCCUUUAGGGUUCGGUGACGCAGCUAACGCUUUAAGCACACCGCCUGGGGAGUACGGUCGCAAGAUUAAAACUCAAAGGAAUUGACGGGGACCCGCACAAGCGGUGGAGCAUGUUGUUUAAUUCGAAGCAACGCGAAGAACCUUACCUACACUUGACAUGCCCUUUAGGACUUUCAGAGAUGAUUGUUUUCAGUUCGGCUGGGAGGAGCACAGGUGCUGCAUGGCUGUCGUCAGCUCGUGUCGUGAGAUGUUGGGUUAAGUCCCGCAACGAGCGCAACCCUUAUCGUAUGUUGCCAUCAUUCAGUUGGGCACUCAUGCGAGACUGCCGGUGAUAAGCCGGAGGAAGGCGGGGACGACGUCAAGUCAUCAUGGCCCCUUACGUGUAGGGCUACAAACGUGCUACAAUGGUGGUGACAGUGGCACUGAGGCUGCGAGGCCAAAGUAAUCCCUAAAAGCCAUCUCAGUUCAGAUUGUAGUCUGCAACUCGACUACAUGAAGUUGGAAUCGCUAGUAAUCGUGGAUCAGCAUGCCACGGUGAAUACGUUCCCGGGUCUUGUACACACCGCCCGUCACACCAUGGGAGUUGGUUUUACCCGAAGGCGCUGCGCUAACUACGGAGGCAGGCGACCACGGUAGGAUUAAUGACUGGGGUGAAGUCGUAACAAGGUAGCCGUUUCGGAAGGAGCGGCUG